This 366-nucleotide ribosomal RNA is filed under the name uncultured organism. RNAcentral describes it as "bacterial SSU rRNA". It matches the Rfam family "Bacterial small subunit ribosomal RNA", at positions 526 to 896 of the family's 1533-position model. The record is from RNAcentral.
CGGAGGAUCCAAGCGUUAUCCGGAAUCAUUGGGUUUAAAGGGUCCGUAGGCGGGUUUAUAAGUCAGUGGUGAAAGCCCAUCGCUCAACGAUGGAACGGCCAUUGAUACUGUAGAUCUUGAAUUAUUAGGAAGUAACUAGAAUAUGUAGUGUAGCGGUGAAACGCUUAGAGAUUACAUGGAAUACCAAUUGCGAAGGCAGGUUACUACUAAUGGAUUGACGCUGAUGGACGAAAGCGUGGGUAGCGAACAGGAUUAGAUACCCUGGUAGUCCACGCCGUAAACGAUGGAUACUAGCUGUUCGGAGCAAUCUGAGUGGCUAAGCGAAAGUGAUAAGUAUCCCACCUGGGGAGUACGUUCGCAAGAAUG